GAUGAACGCUGGCGGCGUGCCUAAUACAUGCAAGUCGAGCGAACGGACGAGAAGCUUGCUUCUCUGAUGUUAGCGGCGGACGGGUGAGUAACACGUGGUUAACCUACCUAUAAGACUGGGAUAACUUCGGGAAACCGGAGCUAAUACCGGAUGAUAUUUUGAACCGCAUGGUUCAAAAGUGAAAGACGGUCUUGCUGUCACUUAUAGAUGGAUCCGCGCUGCAUUAGCUAGUUGGUAAGGUAACGGCUUACCAAGGCAACGAUGCAUAGCCGACCUGAGAGGGUGCUCGGCCACACUGGAACUGAGACACGGUCCAGACUCCUACGGGAGGCAGCAGUAGGGAAUCUUCCGCAAUGGGCGAAAGCCUGACGGAGCAACGCCGCGUGAGUGAUGAAGGUCUUCGGAUCGUAAAACUCUGUUAUUAGGGAAGAACAUAUGUGUAAGUAACUGUGCACAUCUUGACGGUACCUAAUCAGAAAGCCACGGCUAACUACGUG
Molecule: ribosomal RNA, 497 nt
Filed under: uncultured bacterium
Lineage: Bacteria
Description: partial 16S ribosomal RNA
Rfam family: Bacterial small subunit ribosomal RNA
Source: RNAcentral